Molecule: ribosomal RNA, 249 nt
Filed under: uncultured bacterium
Lineage: Bacteria
Description: partial 16S ribosomal RNA
Rfam family: Bacterial small subunit ribosomal RNA
Source: RNAcentral
CACGCCGUAAACGAUGAGUACUAGGUGUAGGGGGUAUCGACCCCCCCUGUGCCGCAGUAAACACAAUAAGUACUCCGCCUGGGAAGUACGAUCGCAAGAUUAAAACUCAAAGGAAUUGACGGGGACCCGCACAAGCGGUGGAGCAUGUGGUUUAAUUCGAAGCAACGCGAAGAACCUUACCAGGUCUUGACAUCCCAGUGACCGCUCUAGAGAUAGAGUUUUCCCUUCGGGGACAUUGGUGACAGGUGG